GAUGAACGCUGGCGGCGUGCCUAAUACAUGCAAGUCGAGCGAACGGACGGGAAGCUUGCUUCUCUGAUGUUAGCGGCGGACGGGUGAGUAACACGUGGAUAACCUACCUAUAAGACUGGGAUAACUUCGGGAAACCGGAGCUAAUACCGGAUAAUAUUUUGAACCGCAUGGUUCAAAAGUGAAAGACGGUCUUGCUGUCACUUAUAGAUGGAUCCGCGCUGCAUUAGCUAGUUGGUAAGGUAACGGCUUACCAAGGCAACGAUGCAUAGCCGACCUGAGAGGGUGAUCGGCCACACUGGAACUGAGACACGGUCCAGACUCCUACGGGAGGCAGCAGUAGGGAAUCUUCCGCAAUGGGCGAAAGCCUGACGGAGCAACGCCGCGUGAGUGAUGAAGGUCUGCGGAUCGUAAAACUCUGUUAUUAGGGAAGAACAUAUGUGUAAGUAACUGUGCACAUCUUGACGGUACCUAAGCAGAAAGCCACGGCUAACUACGU
RNAcentral lists this ribosomal RNA (496 nucleotides) under uncultured bacterium. Its description in RNAcentral is "partial 16S ribosomal RNA". It matches the Rfam family "Bacterial small subunit ribosomal RNA", at positions 28 to 506 of the family's 1533-position model. The record is from RNAcentral.